GCUAAUACCGGAUGAUAUCGCGAGAUCAAAGAUUUAUCGCCUGAGGAUGAGCCCGCGUUGGAUUAGGUAGUUGGUGGGGUAAAGGCCUACCAAGCCGACGAUCCAUAGCUGGUCUGAGAGGAUGAUCAGCCACACUGGGACUGAGACACGGCCCAGACUCCUACGGGAGGCAGCAGUGGGGAAUAUUGGACAAUGGGCGCAAGCCUGAUCCAGCAAUGCCGCGUGAGUGAUGAAGGCCCUAGGGUUGUAAAGCUCUUUUACCCG
This 264-nucleotide ribosomal RNA is filed under the name Sphingomonas sp. SE0605. Its description in RNAcentral is "partial 16S ribosomal RNA". It matches the Rfam family "Bacterial small subunit ribosomal RNA", at positions 162 to 442 of the family's 1533-position model. The record is from RNAcentral. Lineage: Bacteria; Pseudomonadati; Pseudomonadota; Alphaproteobacteria; Sphingomonadales; Sphingomonadaceae.